AGGUUAACCGCCAGAGGAGACGGGAAGCCGUAGCGAAAGCGAGUCUGAAUAGGGCGCAAUAGUAUGUUGAUGUAAACCCGAAACCAAGUGACCUACCCAUGUCCAGGUUGAAGGUGCGGUAAAACGCACUGGAGGACCGAACCCGUGUAUGUUGAAAAAUGCUGGGAUGAGGUGUGGGUAGCGGUGAAAUUCCAAACGAACUUGGAGAUAG
This 211-nucleotide ribosomal RNA is filed under the name uncultured Chlamydomonas. RNAcentral describes it as "partial Bacterial large subunit ribosomal RNA". It matches the Rfam family "Bacterial large subunit ribosomal RNA", at positions 643 to 848 of the family's 2925-position model. The record is from RNAcentral. Lineage: Eukaryota; Viridiplantae; Chlorophyta; Chlorophyceae; Chlamydomonadales; Chlamydomonadaceae.